Molecule: long non-coding RNA, 732 nt
Organism: Cyprinus carpio carpio
Lineage: Eukaryota; Metazoa; Chordata; Actinopteri; Cypriniformes; Cyprinidae
Source: Ensembl
GCAGCAGGAAGUGUGUCAUUUUCAAAAUGCUUUGAAUUCAGCAUCUUAUUUUUACUCGAUUUGCUUCAAACUUCAUCAGAAUAAUGAUAAAACACGGCCGAUGUAAAUCUGUUGUGGGGAUAUUGAUAUCUAACAUAGUGUUGCCAUGGCAACGCUUCAAACUUGAAUAUUCUUUUCUGGGGAUUUUGAGGCAGAUAACAUGCUCAGAAUUACAUAAAACUCAAAACACAUAUCAGUCCUAAUGAUAUAUAGACAAUGGAAAAAGCUCAUGAAGGGGCGUGGAGGAGCCACUCUAUAGUGCCACCUUUUGUCAAAAGUGAGGGGGUUAUUUUUAGCUACAGACACCAAACUUGGUAUAUAUAUUGUUCUUAUCAAGACGGACAACUUUCUAAUUUACAGUCAUCAGCUGCGACCUACAGGAAGUCGGCUAUUUUGGUUUAAAUGUGGAUUUUUGGAAAAAUAUGGCUGUGAAUUAAUGCAUACUCCACAGAGGAGAAUUACACUAUACACACCAAACUUUGUCUACAUGAUGCCAAUAUACUGAAGAUGUUAAAUUGCGAACGGGUUUAGGAUACCUUGAACGGUAUGGCCACAGCGAUUUAUUAAAGUAACAUUAAAAAAUGCAACAGUUAUUUUCCUAUAUCUUUUGAAUUCUUUAUUCUAACCCUUCAUAAUUUUUUACAUAUUAGAAGUCAUUCUUAGAAAACACAGUAAUUUUCAUAAAUUUAUCAU